UACGUAGGUCCCGAGCGUUGUCCGGAUUUAUUGGGCGUAAAGCGAGCGCAGGUGGUUUAUUAAGUCUGGUGUAAAAGGCAGUGGCUCAACCAUUGUAUGCAUUGGAAACUGGCAGACUUGAGUGCAGGAGAGGAGAGUGGAGUUCCAUGUGUAGCGGUGAAAUGCGUAGAUAUAUGGAGGAACACCGGUGGCGAAAGCGGCUCUCUGGCCUGUAACUGACACUGAGGCUCGAAAGCGUGGGGAGCAAACAGG
Molecule: ribosomal RNA, 252 nt
Filed under: uncultured bacterium
Lineage: Bacteria
Description: partial 16S ribosomal RNA
Rfam family: Bacterial small subunit ribosomal RNA
Source: RNAcentral